This 3158-nucleotide long non-coding RNA is filed under the name Taeniopygia guttata (zebra finch). RNAcentral describes it as "lncRNA (ENSTGUG00000022472.1)". The record is from RNAcentral. Lineage: Eukaryota; Metazoa; Chordata; Aves; Passeriformes; Estrildidae.
GGGGCCCGCGCCCGCCAUGUUUCCCGGCAGCGCUCCGUGCCCGCCGCCCGCCUGAGCCUCCCGGGGCCGGCCCGGCCCGGCCCGGGGCCGCCCGCCCUGCUCGGCCGCCGGGACUCCAUCGACAGCAGCUGCCCAAGGUUUGUCCGUGUGGCAGCGGGGCCAGCCGCGACCGCCGAGGGAUCCUCCGCUGCGAGUGCCCGAGGAGAGGCCGGUUCGGGCCCGGAGGGUCCCGGGGUGGCGAUGGGAGCGCUGGUCUGAGCUCCGCCGGGCACCCCCGGGUGCGGAGCCGAAACCGCAUUCCCCAGCUGAGGAUAAACCAGAGGUGAUCCGGUUCCGUCCCACGGGAGCGCUCCUGACAGGCUCGGUGCCUCGGAGGGGCGAGGAUGGCUCAGGAGACGAACCAGACACAGGUGCCUCUGCUGUGUACCACGGGCUGCGGGUUCUAUGGCAGCCCCCGGACCAACGGCAUGUGCUCCGUGUGCUACAAGGAGUUCUUGCAGAGGCAGCAGAGCAGUGACCGGAUAAGCCCUCCAGCACCCAGCGGUCCCAGCAGCAGCCCCAUGGCUUCCGAGGCCAUCGCAGGACAGUGCGCGGAGGGAGACUCCACACCUGAGGAUGCAAAAGCCAGCGCUCAGACUCCUGUGACCCAUCAGAUGACGGCCAUGAGCAUAUCCAGAGAGGAAACCAGCAAUGAAACAGAGGAAUUCAGCAAGACAGAUGAAGCCUCAUCAGCUUCUUCCUCAUCAGGUACCCUGCUUGAGAUAUCCCAGAACACGGCUGAGGGCAAGACGGCUUCGGAAAAACCGAAACCGAAGAAGAAUCGCUGCUUCACCUGCCGGAAGAAGAUUGGACUGACUGGCUUCGACUGCCGCUGCGGGAACCUGUUCUGUGCCAUUCACCGGUACUCCGACAUGCACGCCUGCCCCUACGACUACAAGGCAGAAGCUGCCGAGAAGAUCCGCAAGGAAAACCCCAUCGUUAUCGCCGAGAAGAUCCAGAAGUUGUGAAGGGGUCCGAGCAGCUCGAACUGCAGCCAGCCCGCCUGGUGCUCCUCCCCUUCCUCCCGGCCUUCCUCCUCCUCCUCCCAGCCCCUGCGCGGUGCGAGGGUGGCUCCAGCAGCGCACCUGGACACGGGGACUCCUCGCACCUCUGGUGUUCCUCCUCUCCCUCCCUGCCUGUCCGACAGCCACAGCUCAGCUGAUGUGUUCUCAACCAGCUUCCCAGAGGAAAAGGGACCGUCCUGCCCCGCUGCUGUGGCACUAAGACCUUGGCACUUGCCUUUUGGUGGGCAGUUUGCGUGGUGUGAGCAGCCGGGCUCUGCCGGGCAGCCUUUCCCUUCCUGGUGACUCAAGUCCUGCAAACCACCCAGGACUUGUGGCCACAGUCCCCGAGCAGCUGCUGGACUCGUUCCCUCUGCCUGCAGUCCCGGGAGCUGGGGGAUCCUGGCAGCCAGGCUGCCGUCUGCUCCCCGGGAGGUGUUUGCUCUCAGAUGCACAAAAGUUGAUUCUGUAGUUCAGCACCCCAGACCCCUCUCCCCACCCUCUGCUGACGCUGUUGGAGAAGCACCACGGGGGUUGAGCAGUGAUGCUGGCACAGGGAGGUUAUUUUGUGGCUUGAAGUGAGGUGGGCAGGACCUUCCAGGAGGUUCUGCUUGCUGCCUUGUGCCUCUCUCCACAGGGAGGCCCCCUGCUCCAGCCUCCUGCUUCAGCACCCCUGGAUAACCCCGGCUGCUUUCCCAGCAAGGUGUGUGUCCCUCAGCACUGCCUGUGCCUGCUCUCCUCUCUCCCCUCUUUCCUCUCCCCUUUCUCCUCUCCCUUCUCUCCUCUCUCCCUGCCUUCUGCCUUACACGAGUUGCUCUCAUCAGGGUUGUGCACAAAGCUCAGGUCCCCACGCCUCUGCUUCUGGACCUGUCCCUGCACCCAGGUGACAGUGGGGUCCCCUCCUGCCAUGUGGGCCAUGCUGGUACUGGGGAGAGCUCGGGGAGCCCACCCAGCUGCCCUCCUCUGCCUCCUCCCUCCCUGUGGGAUGAGAGGCAGGGCCAGGUCCCCAGGAGAUGCUCUGCAAGCCAGACAGAGGGAACUGGGGCACAGGGAAAGUCACCAGGAGGGUCCUGGGGCGCCCAGAAGUCCAGGUGGGGGCUCAAAAACACCCAUGGAGAAACCCAGGGAGCAGGGAGAGGUGCCUGGAGGGCUCUGGGCUCACUGAGACUCAAUUCCCUGAGGUGCUGGAAGGCCCAGGGAGGGCUCUGGGGUGCAAGGAAAGGCAGAAGGAGAACUUUGGGGUACAGUGAACAUGCUCAGAGGCCUCAAGCACCCUAAGAGGCACGUGGAAGGCUCUGGGGCUGCUCUCACUCACACACAGGAAGGGAGGUGUGGGAAAAACCAAAUGCCACUCAGUACCACUCCAGAAAGAGCACCUGGAGGGCUCUGUUGGGAGGAGCUGGGGCUCAGGGAUGCAGCACAAGGCAGGCAGGGGCUCCUGGGGCACAGCCACAGCCUCCUCCAUGCCCAGGGGAUUCCUGGGAACAGCAGGAGUGAGGCUGUGCCCACGGAGCUCUGCCUUUCUCAAGCAGAGAAACCCAGAUGCGUCCCAGGGGACAAGCAGCAGCCUCUGUCCCACUCUGCUGGCCAUCCCACGCUUUGGAAACAUUUCCCUUGGUGUCAGCACAGCUGGGGAAACCUCAGCAGCUCCUUCCUUCCAAAGGCUGUUUUCCUGCCCUGCUUGUGGCAGUUCUGCCCAGGUGCUGGAGUGUUUGGUUUUUGCAGUGUGUGCUCUGUGGCAGCUGCCAUCCUGUGCUGCUGCUGGCAGCAUCUGAACCUCCCAAACUGCCACAGAGAGGAGCGAGGCUGCCUCUCAGCAGCCUUUUCCUCAGGAUUUUCCUUCUGGAUAACACUGACAUGUCUGGAGCAUGCAAGUGGCUGCACGUGUCAGCCCUGGACACACCUGGGCCAGCACGGAGCUGGUGGUGGCCAGGCUGGGUUUGCCUGAUCCCUCCCCCUCAGGGGAUGCAGGAAUUUGGCCCACCAGCCCCGAGGAAGUGCAGCAGCUCCCAUGGAUCCCUUGGGAAAGCCCACAGCCACCUGCUUCUCCAGCACCGCCCUUUUCCCUGUUCUCCCUCCCUGUCCAUGAGUGUAAAUACAACACAGUCUAGUUUGCUU